This 4460-nucleotide long non-coding RNA is filed under the name Piliocolobus tephrosceles (Ugandan red Colobus). Its description in RNAcentral is "lncRNA (ENSPTEG00000012022.1)". The record is from RNAcentral. Lineage: Eukaryota; Metazoa; Chordata; Mammalia; Primates; Cercopithecidae.
AUGGAGUUGAAGAUAUGGAAGGAGUUAAAGAUAUGGAAGGAGUUAAAGAUAUGGAANNNNNNNNNNAAAGAUAUGGAAGGAGUUAAAGAUAUGGAAGGAGUUAAAGAUAUGGAGGAAAUAAAAAAAAAACUGCAGCUAACCUUUAAACAUAACGAUGAUAAUAUAAAUGAUUUUAUGUAUGUAAAAGAAGCAGACGUUGAUGAAAAAAAUAGGCCCUUAAAAAAAAACAUAACGAAAUUAAAGGUAGAAGACGAAGUGGAUGGAUUUGUUAAAUACAUUAAUGAAGAUGGAGCAUAUAUAGAUAUAGGUUGUAAAACACUUGCAUUUUUAAACCUCGGUCAUUAUAAUAAAGAUCCACGACAAUUUUUUACUCAUACCCCAAAAAAAAAAAAAAUACAAAUAAAUGAUCAUAUAAAAAAUUUAAAAGUGAGAAAGAUUGAUAUUUUGAAUAAUAGGAUUGAGGUUAGUAUGUAUACUAUGCAAGAAGAAGCUUGUUUACGUAUAUUAACUGAAAAAGAGACAAUAAAUGAACAAAAUAAAUAUAUCCCUUGUCCAAAUUAUAUUAUAUAUAACUAUCACAUGAUUAAUUAUAUAAAAAAACUAAACGAAUUAAAAAAAAAAAAAAAAAAAAAUUUAACUAAUAAUGAUAAAAAUAUAAAUAUACAUAAUUUAUUUGAAAAAAAAGAGCAUCUAAGUGAAAUGAAAAAAGUAAAAGAAUUAAAAAAAAGUCAAUUAAAACAAUUUGUACUUACAUAUAAUGAAUUAAAUUCACCUAGUACGAAUUAUGAAACAAUGAUGGAAGAUAAUAAAGAUAAUAUAGAGUUCCAAAAAGAAAUUGGAAAUAAAAUAAUUAAUCAAAUAAAUAAAAAUAAAAUAGAUUUACAUUAUCUAAGAAAACAAAAUAAACAACUAAAAGAAGAAAUAAAUUAUGCUACUAAUUAUGAACAUUCAGAAGAUAUAAAUAUAAAAAAUGAAUCAAAUGAAAAGAAUAAUAUAAACAAUUUUAUAAAUAAAUAUGAUUCUUAUUUUGAUACAUAUACACGACCAGAAUCAAGUGAAGAGAUAAAUCGGGGUAAAUCCGAGGAUGAUACAUAUGGUGAAAACAUAUACGGCAACGACAUAUACGAUAACGACAUAUACGAUAACGACAUAUACGGAAACGACAUAUACGAUAACGACAUAUACGAUAACGACUUAUACGGUAACGACUUAUAUGAUGAAAAAGCAAAUAAAGAUAAAAUAAAUAAACAUAAUUAUAAUCAUACUGAAAGUGAUAGUAACAAAUCUACUUUAUUAUAUUUAAAAAAAAAUAUAUCAAAAAUAAAAAGAAGUGUAUUAGAUGAAUAUAAUAAUAACAAUAAUAAUACGAAUGGGUUGAAACAAAAAAAUUACACAACUGGUGAUAUUAACAACGUUGAUAAGAAUGUUAAAAAUAAAAAUAACAAUAUAACACAUGAACCAGUUUUAAAAAAUCUGUUUGGAAAAAGGAAAGUUAAAAAUGUAGAUAAAAAUUAUAAACACGCAAAUGUAAAUCAACUUAAUAGGAUAAAUGACUAUCAUGACUAUACUGACGAAAUACAAACAAGUAAUAAAAAUAAUACAUCCUAUAAAGGAAAAUUGAUGGAAACUUAUUUAAAUGAUAUAAGAGAUGGUGAGGAAGAGGAGAAGGAAGAAGAAGAAGAAGAGGAGGAGGAGGAGGAGGAGGAGGAGGAGGAGGAGGAAGAGGAAGAGGACGAUAUUGAAAACGUGGAUGUCGAACAAACAAAAAUAAAAAAAAUAUAUGAUUAUCUGUUGCCUAAUGUAAAUAAAAAAAAAUUACCUUUUGAGCAUGCUACUGAUAUUGAAUUUGACCAGAGUAAUAGUGACAUAAAUAAACAGGAUAUGGAAAAAGAGGAUACGGAAAAAGAGGAUAUGGAAAAAGAGGAUACGGAAAAAGAGGAUACGGAAAAAAAUAACGAAGAUUCAUUUUUUGACAUAAAAGAUGAACUGCAAUAUAUUUUGAAUCAGAAUAUAAAUAUGAACGUCGCACAUAAUGAGGAAAAGUGUAUAGAAGAAGCAUCAAAAUUAUUUGGAGAAGAUAUAAAAACAUGGUAUGAUAAAAUGUAUUAUUACUUUGGUAGUCCUGACAAUGUAUCACUAGAUAAUUUACAAAUCUAUGACGAUGAAGAAUAUAAAAAAGGAAUAAAUAAUACACAGAAUAAUGAUUUUUCUGAUUAUGAGCAAAUAUUAAAUAAAAAUUCAUGGGAUGUUGAUAAUGAACAUGGUUUUAUAACAGCCAAUUAUGAAGAUACUAUAAAUGACAUGACUACUACUACUACUACUACUACUAAUAAUAAUAAUAAUAAUAAUACUACUACUAAUAAUAAUAAUAAUAAUACUACUACUAAUAAUAAUAAUAAUACUACUACUACUAAUAAUAAUAAUAAUACUACUANNNNNNNNNNUAAUAAUAAUAAUAAUAAUAAUAAAAUGAAUACUAUUCAACAAUCUGAUAGUAUUGGUAAAUUAGAAAUAGAACAACCAAACCUAUUGGAAGAAAAAACAAAAAAUACAUCCAUAUCGGUUGAUAGUACUUCAAAUGAACAAAAUGUAAAUGAACAACAUGAGAUUGAUCAUUAUUUGGAAACGUUUUUUAGUGACAGUCAACAUAAACAUAUACAUCAGGAUAUAUUCGAUGGUGUGCAGAAUUUUUCACAGAAAGUACAUAAUAAUUUGUCACAGGAUGUACAUAAUAAUUUUUCACAUUUAUUGCAUGAUACUAUGGUAUAUGACGCAAAUGAUCGUACAAAUAUAAAUAAAAAAAAUAACACAGUAGAGAAAAAACCAAUUAAUGGGUGCUCAAAUUUUACAAGAGCUAAUGUAAUUACCGAAAAAAAUUUACAUAAAUUCGCAGAUGGACAGAUAGAAAAGUCUGAAAAUGAUGAAAAUGAUAAAAGUGAUGAAAAUGAUAAAAAUGAUGAAAAUGAUAAAAAUGAUGAAAAUGGAAAUAUAAACAUAGAUGAUAUUAUUAAAAAAGCCAUAAACAUUAGUAAUGUAUUUAAACAAAGAGAAAUAAAAAAAUUGUUAAAAGAAAAAAAAAAAAAAAAAAAAAAAGAAGAAGGUGAUGAUGAAUCAAGAUAUAAUGUUAAUGCAAACUUUAGCAAUGAUGUUGUAACUACUGCUCCCACUACUUCUACCGACCAUCAAACAAACAAAACUUACAAAAACGAUGAAAAAAUAACGAAAAAUGCAAAACAAAAGGAAAUAAACAACUAUAACAAAACAAUUAAACAUGAACAAACCAUAGAAAGUAUAGACAGUAUUGAAACGAAUUCCAUACCUACUUUAAACGUACACGAAAAGGAUGAACUAAAAGCAUACAAACAUGCAUCAUAUGAAGUUCAAGGAUAUUACAAAAGAAAAAGAAAAAUAAAAAGCAUAAACGAAUUAAAUGACAUACACAUAGAAGAUGCUAAUGAUCAAAUAAUAUUAAACGAUGAAGAUAUACUGAAUAAUACAACACAUGAUAAUAACAACAGUAAUGAAAACACAGAUACAAUUAACCACUCAAAUGUGAAUAAAUCAAUUUUUAAUGUUAACAGUUAUGAAAAUUUAUUACUUUUACAUGGUAAAUAUAAUAAUAUUAUUGAAAAUAAUUACUUAGAAAAAAUAUUAAAAAAAGAAAAAAAUAGUAAUGAAAAUAUAAGCAAAGAUAUAGAUUUAUUAAUUCAAAAUUAUAAAUAUGCAAACAUAGAUCCCGAUGGUUUUAUUACAUCUUUUUACAAUUCCAAGAUAAAUGAAAAAGAUACUACAAAGGAGUUUGAUAUGGUCAAGUCUGGCUCUAAAAUUGGCUCUAAAUCUGACACUGAUCUUAUGAAAAAAUCUAUUACGAAUAUACCAAAAGAAAAUGAAAAUAUAUCAAAGACAGUUCAAAUUAGUAAUACAAGUACAAAUACAACAAUAAUACGCGAGGUCAACAGUUUUACAAAUAAUUUGAUGGAUUUAAAAAUGUGGCUAGUACAAUUAGGAUUACUCAAACAAAGUGAUAUACACCUAGAAAGUAAUGAAAUAAUUAAAAAAUUUCUUAAAAAUCCUAAAUUCAAAAGAGUUUUAAAUUUGUAUAAUAUUAAACCAAAAGAUAUAACUAUACCUCUUUUUUAUAAAAUAACAAAGUUGUUAUAUUUCGAAAGGCCUUUUCCUCGGAAAGAAAAACACUACAAACUAAAAAUGGAUUAAGGGCGAGUUAAAGGGACAACAUAACUAAGUCCAUUUUUUUUUUUUUGUUAAUAUGUGAUAAUUCAUGCUUACAUUUUUUCAUAUAUUGUUGUUGUUGUUUUUUUACAAAUGUUUUAAAAUUAUGAACGUACAAUUAAGAACAUGUAUAUAUUGUAAUACUGUUUCCUAUUUAAACUUUAAAAGAAAUAAUAGAUUUCAAAAAUUGAAAAAAUAAACGUAUGUAAUAGUAAAAAAAAGUAAAUUCA